Mercenaria mercenaria is the source of this 241-nucleotide long non-coding RNA. RefSeq lists it as uncharacterized. Lineage: Eukaryota; Metazoa; Mollusca; Bivalvia; Venerida; Veneridae. The record is from RefSeq and is a predicted model, not a curated record. The transcript has 2 exons.
UUCAACUGGGCACCAGGUGAGCCAGAUAACAGUCCAGCUCUUUCAUCGAAACACCAAGACUGCUUGGCUAUCUUCGAAUCCACUGGUAUGUGGGACGACGGCUGGUGUGAAACAAAACACAAUUUCCUUUGCGAAAUAGAUCUCGAUGUAGAGCAAAUUGUUGGAUGACCAGACUUCAAGUUUAUACACUUCAUUUGUGUAUUAUAUGUAGUUGUAAAUACACAAAUAAAAUAAAACAGUU